Molecule: small RNA, 52 nt
Organism: Asticcacaulis sp. AC466
Lineage: Bacteria; Pseudomonadati; Pseudomonadota; Alphaproteobacteria; Caulobacterales; Caulobacteraceae
Rfam family: ffh sRNA
Source: Rfam
GGAGGUUGGGAAGGCUCCCCGACAGCGCGUUGCGCCCUCGGGGAUUUUGUUU